GACGAACGCUGGCGGCGUGCCUAAUACAUGCAAGUAGAACGCUGAAGCGAGGAGCUUACUCUUCUUGGAUGAGUUGCGAACGGGUGAGUAACGCGUAGGUAACCUGCCUUGUAGCGGGGGAUAACUAUUGGAAACGAUAGCUAAUACCGCAUAACAAUGGAUGACACAUGUCAUUUAUUUGAAAGGGGCAAUUGCUCCACUACAAGAUGGACCUGCGUUGUAUUAGCUAGUAGGUGAGGUAAUGGCUCACCUAGGCGACGAUACAUAGCCGACCUGGGAGGGUGAUCGGCCACACUGGGACUGAGACACGGCCCAGACUCCUACGGGAGGCAGCAGUAGGGAAUCUUCGGCAAUGGGGGCAACCCUGACCGAGCAACGCCGCGUGAGGGAAGAAGGUUUUCGGAUCGUAAAGCUCUGUUGUAAGUCAAGAACGGGUGUGGGAGUGGAAAGUUCACACUGUGACGGUAGCUUACCAGAAAGGGACGGCUAACUACGUG
RNAcentral lists this ribosomal RNA (497 nucleotides) under uncultured bacterium. Its description in RNAcentral is "partial 16S ribosomal RNA". It matches the Rfam family "Bacterial small subunit ribosomal RNA", at positions 28 to 507 of the family's 1533-position model. The record is from RNAcentral.